RNAcentral lists this transfer RNA (68 nucleotides) under Callosciurus notatus (plantain squirrel). Its description in RNAcentral is "tRNA-Val". It matches the Rfam family "tRNA". Rfam says of the family: Transfer RNA (tRNA) molecules are approximately 80 nucleotides in length. Their secondary structure includes four short double-helical elements and three loops (D, anti-codon, and T loops). Further hydrogen bonds mediate the characteristic L-shaped molecular structure. tRNAs have two regions of fundamental functional importance: the anti-codon, which is responsible for specific mRNA codon recognition, and the 3' end, to which the tRNAs corresponding amino acid is attached (by aminoacyl-tRNA synthetases). tRNAs cope with the degeneracy of the genetic code in two manners: having more than one tRNA (with a specific anti-codon) for a particular amino acid; and 'wobble' base-pairing, i.e. permitting non-standard base-pairing at the 3rd anti-codon position. Lineage: Eukaryota; Metazoa; Chordata; Mammalia; Rodentia; Sciuridae. The record is from RNAcentral.
CAAGAUGUAGCUUAGCCAAAGCACCCGGCUUACACCCGGAAGACUUCAUAUACCUAUGAACAUCUUGA